Molecule: long non-coding RNA, 172 nt
Organism: Seriola dumerili (greater amberjack)
Lineage: Eukaryota; Metazoa; Chordata; Actinopteri; Carangiformes; Carangidae
Exons: 3
Source: RefSeq, a predicted model, not a curated record
CGGAGAUGCAUCGCGGCUGAAGGAGGAAACGCAACAGCAAACUCAUGUGCAGUUCUUCAGCUCCACACCAAGAGCAACUGUUCGACAGCAGACUAGAGUGGAGCACAGACCAUGAUGUUUAGUUCCCAGGUAUGCAGGUGAGGGAAACACAAAGGCUGAUGGGACAACAGGA